This is a long non-coding RNA of Coregonus clupeaformis (lake whitefish), 844 nucleotides long. RefSeq lists it as uncharacterized. NCBI's taxonomy places the organism in Eukaryota, Metazoa, Chordata, Actinopteri, Salmoniformes, Salmonidae. The transcript has 2 exons. The record is from RefSeq and is a predicted model, not a curated record.
GCAGCGACGGAACACAAGGGAAAUACACAUUUGUAGCCUAUACUGUGAUGAAACCAAUAUUGGGAGAUGGUCGCGAUGGCAAAGUAGCCCUACAAGUCAGUCAAGUGAAUAGAGGUGAUGUGGCAGCUGCAACCAGGUAGUCUCAAGAGGCUUGGCAUUGUGUUCUCCAUUCUAUGAUAGAUGGAAGCUACAAUCUCACACCCCAACCUCUAACCUCAAGGCCCAAUGGAAUUUUACAAUAUUGUAAAAUGGGAUAUAGAUGAUUGUUGGCUUCUCAUAGCCAGAUCAAACCUGGGAUUUUUUCCCCACAGAUAAACCGAAGAUAAGAGUUUUUGCCUGCUUCACGGUCCAUUAUUACUUUUGGUACGCGCUCGGCCAGUCUCAAACUCGUACCGUGAGUAAUAAUGCACUGUGGCUGUCACUGCCAACGAGAGACGGACAACACCACAGUUCUCUGUAAUCCUAUGCAUCUCAUCGUUGUAUAGCCAGUUGUGAAGCAGGAAAUGUGGUGAAAACUCAGCCCCUGUGUCAGGAUGACAGCAUUUGAAUAUAAUCAUUUAGGCUACUUUCAUAUCCAGUGAAGAAAUUGACUAGCCAGUUUACUUAAAUAUUAUUGUUGAAUUGUUUAUUUUAAAUACGUUGUUGAAUGUACUGUAGGCCUACCUUGUAAUGGUGAUAACACUUCAAGAAUAGCCUAUUUGUGACAUUUGAAAAUGUUAACUCUAAAUGUUACAUCUGUUAUUUAUAGCUGCAGAAUCAUUUCCCUGUGGCUGUUAUAUUUAUGUUGACUGCAUAUGUCUUGUUUCAGUACAAUAAAACAGUGAUAUUAGGCUAUAGCCUAUUA